Molecule: ribosomal RNA, 552 nt
Filed under: uncultured Acidobacteriota bacterium
Lineage: Bacteria; Pseudomonadati; Acidobacteriota
Description: SSU rRNA
Rfam family: Bacterial small subunit ribosomal RNA
Source: RNAcentral
CAGCUAGUUGGCAGGGUAAAAGCCUACCAAGGCAUAGAUCGGUAGCCGGCCUGAGAGGGCACACGGCCACACUGGCACUGAAACACGGGCCAGACUCCUACGGGAGGCAGCAGUGGGGAAUCUUGCACAAUGGGGGAAACCCUGAUGCAGCGACGCCGCGUGAGCGAUGAAGCCCUUCGGGGUGUAAAGCUCUUUCGUCAGGGAAGAUAGUGACGGUACCUGGAGAAGCAGCUGCGGCUAACUACGUGCCAGCAGCCGCGGUAAUACGUAGGCAGCGAGCGUUGUUCGGAGUUACUGGGCGUAAAGGGUGUGUAGGCGGUUGUUUAAGUUUGGUGUGAAAUCUCCCGGCUCAACUGGGAGGGUGCGCCGAAUACUGAGCGACUAGAGUGCGGGAGAGGAAAGUGGAAUUCCUGGUGUAGCGGUGAAAUGCGUAGAUAUCAGGAGGAACACCGGUGGUGUAGACGGCUUUCUGGACCGUAACUGACGCUGAGACACGAAAGCGUGGGUAGCAAACAGGAUUAGAUACCCUGGUAGUCCACGCCCUAAACGAUG